Non-coding RNA from Pangasius djambal, 71 nucleotides. NCBI's taxonomy places the organism in Eukaryota, Metazoa, Chordata, Actinopteri, Siluriformes, Pangasiidae. The record is from the annotation of a GenBank genome assembly.
UUCUGGAGGACUAGUGGUUAGGCCGCAGUGCUCUGACCGCCACAGCCCAGCUUCAACUCCUGGCCUGGAAG